This 696-nucleotide ribosomal RNA is filed under the name uncultured bacterium. RNAcentral describes it as "bacterial SSU rRNA". It matches the Rfam family "Bacterial small subunit ribosomal RNA", at positions 63 to 771 of the family's 1533-position model. The record is from RNAcentral.
CGACGGAGUCAAGAGAAGCUUGCUUUUCUUGACUUAGUGGCGAACGGGUGAGUAACGCGUGAGUAACCUGCCCUGGAGUGGGGGACAACAGUUGGAAACGACUGCUAAUACCGCAUAAGCCCACGGAUCCGCAUGGAUCUGCGGGAAAAGGAUUUAUUCGCUUCAGGAUGGACUCGCGUCCAAUUAGCUAGUUGGUGAGGUAACGGCCCACCAAGGCGACGAUUGGUAGCCGGACUGAGAGGUUGAACGGCCACAUUGGGACUGAGACACGGCCCAGACUCCUACGGGAGGCAGCAGUGGGGGAUAUUGCACAAUGGGGGAAACCCUGAUGCAGCGACGCCGCGUGGAGGAAGAAGGUUUUCGGAUUGUAAACUCCUGUCGUUAGGGACGAUAAUGACGGUACCUAACAAGAAAGCACCGGCUAACUACGUGCCAGCAGCCGCGGUAAAACGUAGGGUGCAAGCGUUGUCCGGAAUUACUGGGUGUAAAGGGAGCGCAGGCGGACCGGCAAGUUGGAAGUGAAAACUAUGGGCUCAACCCAUAAAUUGCUUUCAAAACUGCUGGCCUUGAGUAGUGCAGAGGUAGGUGGAAUUCCCGGUGUAGCGGUGGAAUGCGUAGAUAUCGGGAGGAACACCAGUGGCGAAGGCGACCUACUGGGCACCAACUGACGCUGAGGCUCGAAAGCAUGGGUAGCAA